GCAUAUCAAUAAGCGGAGGAAAAGAAACCAACAGGGAUUGCCUUAGUAACUGCGAGUGAAGCGGCAAAAGCUCAAAUUUUAAAUCUGGCACCUACGGUGUCCGAGUUGUAAUUUGGAGAGGUAUUGUCGGAUUGAGUGCUAUUCUAAGUUCCUUGGAACAGGACGUCACAGAGGGUGAGAAUCCCGUGUGUGGGUAGCUGUCUCAGUUCAGGUGUGAUGCCUUCGACGAGUCGAGUUGUUUGGGAUUGCAGCUCAAAAUGGGAGGUAAAUUUCUCCUAAGGCUAAAUAACGGCGAGAGACCGAUAGCGAACAAGUACCGUGAGGGAAAGAUGAAAAGAACUUUGAAAAGAGAGUAAAACAGUACGUGAAAUUGUUGAAAGGGAAACGAUUAAAGUCAGUCGUACGGACGGGGAAUCAACCUUUCGAGCGUGGGUACGUGGGAUUCGGAGAGCCUUCGUUCUCGCGUCAUUCGUGUUCUUUGGGUGUACUUUCUCGUAACGUAGGUUAACAUCGGUUUCGAUCGUUAUAAAAUGAACGGAGGAAUGUGGCUUCGAUCUCGGUUGAAGUGUUAUAGCCUUUGUUAGAUGUAACGGUUGGGAUCGAGGAUUGCAACGGAUGCUCGAAUGGGCUAUCCGCCUGAUCUCUGAUUCGACACUUUGGCGUUGAAAGCUUGCUUAUGACGUUGAAGUGAUCGGUCAAAAGGUUAGACCGGAUUAAAUUCGUUAAGGAUGUUGACGUA
This 739-nucleotide ribosomal RNA is filed under the name uncultured Glomerales. RNAcentral describes it as "LSU rRNA". It matches the Rfam family "Eukaryotic large subunit ribosomal RNA", at positions 38 to 633 of the family's 3401-position model. Lineage: Eukaryota; Fungi; Glomeromycota; Glomeromycetes; Glomerales; Glomeraceae. The record is from RNAcentral.